UUUACUCAAAACUUCAAUGAAUCCAAUACAAGGGAGUGGGGUGGGGCCUUUAUAUAAUAAAGGCGAGCCACACAUAAGUAGAAAGUUAAAAAAAAUAAAGCAAAAUUUUAGGACAAUAAUUCUAAAAAUGCUGAAAAGAUUCAAUGGGUUGGCUGAAAAAUGCUAAAAAGAUUCAAUGGGUUGGUUGGCCUUUUCUUCUUUGGCUGGAUUCUCCAAACUAGGUAAAGUUGAAAUCGCGAGUAGAGGAUUUGGAUUGGACGCCUUGGUUGGCCUUUUCUUUUUUGACUGAAUUCUCCAAACUAGGUAUGACUGAGAUCGUGGGUAGAAGAUUUGGAGUAGACGCCUGCAUCACAAUUGAAGCACAGCUCCCAAGCUUUUAGCAUCCAUCAUCUAGACUGAGCAUCAGGGAAAAAGGAAAGAAAUUAGUAUUUUUUUGAGAAUUCAAUAAUCAAUAAUCAUGGAUUUCAAAUAUUGUAGUAGUAUGGUAUGUGCAUGGACUAACUAAAAGUCGAUGAGUUUAUUGGCUUUUAGGGUUUUUUUUUUGUUGCAAAAAACAAUGAAAGUCAAUAAACUUAGUAAAUUGUGCCAACCAGGCUUAGACACCUCUUGUAGUAAGCAAGUCUCUAGUCCAAUAAUAUAUCUUGAAAAAGCAAAAUAAAAUAAAAUGAUAUAAAAAUAUUAACAAGUGAUUCGAAUUUAUAGAUGCCAAAAACUAGGUUUAAUUAUAUUAGGAUAUCAUCAUAAGCCUUUAGAAUACAGUAAUACUAGCUUUUUUAGCAACAAAAUUUAUACAUAAUAUGUUAGGAAUUUCUAUGAUGUAGGGGCGCAACGGAAGUGCGAGAUUUCAAAAAAAAAUUCAUAAUGAAAUUUUGAAACAUCAAAUUCUAAACCCAAGAUCACCUUAAUGGUAACAAUCAAACUUAAAAUAAAUGUAGAAAUAGAAGAAUACCUAUAACGCUAAUUCCAAUAUUCAGAAUUUUCACUAGGCGCCCAAGUGUUCACCCUCCAACGUUGAUCCACACGGAAACUUGCUUUAAGAUUCUAACUCCGAAAGAACUUGAUUCUUGAUGCUGAAUUCUUCCAAAGAAUUCAAUUGGCUUCUAGGCAAAAUAACACUUCUCAAGUGCUUUGCCUUUCUCCCUUUUCUCUUGGCUUCCUUCUCCCUCUUUCUAAUUGUCUUUUUCUUUCUAAUUCUCCUUCCAAGCCUUUUGUCCUAAAGAAAACCUUUUAUCUUAAUUUAGAACAACCUUGGAGAGAGAUGUAAGAAAG
This 1269-nucleotide long non-coding RNA is filed under the name Phoenix dactylifera (date palm). RNAcentral's name for it is "long non-coding RNA (PDAC_LNC001330)". Lineage: Eukaryota; Viridiplantae; Streptophyta; Magnoliopsida; Arecales; Arecaceae. The record is from RNAcentral.